Molecule: long non-coding RNA, 435 nt
Filed under: Homo sapiens (human)
Lineage: Eukaryota; Metazoa; Chordata; Mammalia; Primates; Hominidae
Description: HSALNT0257051
Source: RNAcentral
AGAGAAGUUACUAUUUACUCCUAAUUAGAUGGGGAGGAAAGUCUUUGAAGAGAAACCUCUACUUUACUUUUACAUCUCUAUUUUAAUCUAUUCCUCUACGUUAGUUAUUGAAAAACAAUAGACAAUUGCAAAAAAACAAGUUCACCUAUUUGUGUUCCUGGAGCCCAUUCACAAAGGGCCCUCGUGACUGGGCCUCAUGCCAAACAAGUUGUUACAAAAAGAGCUAGGGCCGCAGACUGCCCUAGCUUCAGGAGACCUCUCCUCAUCUGUGCACGGUUGAGUGUCCGACUCUGGAGCCCAGGCUAUCACUUCCCGGUGUGGUGGUGAAUCCUCCAUAGUCUGAUGAGUGUUUUUGUCUGACUCUGGAGCCCAUACUGUUGCUUCCUGGUCUGGUGAGGAAUCCUCCAUAGUCUGUACUUACAAUCUCUCCAACAG